AACUUUAUAUCACACAUACAUGUAUUACCAGUUGGUAAUCGUAAUAAACCAAACAAAAACCCUGUUUGAUUGGCUUUGAAUUGGACUAGAUUUCAUUUAAUGAAAGAAUUCAUGGCGAUUUCAAAACCUUUCAACUACUUACCACCGGUCCAAGUUGGUGUAAGCAUUAACUGUAUCCACCCACCACCUUACAUCCCACAUUAAUGCAUCUCUCUCUCUAUAUAUAUAUGUAUGUAUGGUGGUGGCUCUUCACCGUUACACCAGGUCUUUUAGUAUGGCUAGAAAUGAGCAAGAUCUGUUGUCAACUGAGAUUGUCAACCGUGGGAUCGAAUCAUCGGGACCGAAUGCCGGUUCGUUAACGUUCUCGGUUCGGGUUCGAAGACGACUACCUGAUUUUCUUCAGUCAGUUAACUUGAAGUAUGUGAAGUUAGGGUACCAUUAUUUGAUCAACCAUGGUAUAUAUUUGGCUACCAUACCUGUUUUGGUACUUGUUUUUAGUGCCGAAGUGGGUAGUCUUAGUAGGGAAGAGCUUUGGAAAAAGCUUUGGGAAGAUGCUCGUUAUGAUCUCGCCACCGUGCUGUCUUUUUUCGCUGUUUUUGUGUUCACCGUUUCCGUUUACUUCAUG
This 625-nucleotide long non-coding RNA is filed under the name Gossypium barbadense (sea-island cotton). RNAcentral describes it as "long non-coding RNA (GBAR_LNC022732)". The record is from RNAcentral. Lineage: Eukaryota; Viridiplantae; Streptophyta; Magnoliopsida; Malvales; Malvaceae.